GUUUCCGUAGCGUAGUGGUUAUCAAGUCCGCCUCACAAGCGGAAUGGUUUCGAUCCCUGCCGGUAACA
Molecule: non-coding RNA, 68 nt
Organism: Desmophyllum pertusum
Lineage: Eukaryota; Metazoa; Cnidaria; Anthozoa; Scleractinia; Caryophylliidae
Source: the annotation of a GenBank genome assembly